This is a long non-coding RNA of Eriocheir sinensis (Chinese mitten crab), 736 nucleotides long. RefSeq lists it as uncharacterized. The record is from RefSeq and is a predicted model, not a curated record. The transcript is spliced from 4 exons. Lineage: Eukaryota; Metazoa; Arthropoda; Malacostraca; Decapoda; Varunidae.
GCAGCUCAUAGGGCGGCCUGCCUUCCAGAGGGCCUUGGGACUGGAUCGAAAGAUAUAUCUACUAGAAACAAUGAAGAGACGUCGUCGACUAGCUCUGAUCGAUCAGAUGUCGGUUUCUCUCAACCAGACCCCAGCGAUAUUGGAAGUUGUUCUCCACGGGCGGGUCUCAGCGACGAAGCCAGUCAAAACCAAAGGACUAUCUCCGAAGAAGGCGGGUCUGGUAGGCUCAGCCAUUGGCCCUCCUCUUCAGCGAUCGGUAGUGGACGAAAACGAAAACAAGCGAAUACAGGAACAAACGACACCUGCAGGAAAAAGCAAGCCCGUCGUGAGGGAUUCUCCCAUCCAAACAGUUCUCCACAGCCAGGACCCAGCGGUUAUAACCCGGGACGGCCGACAACAACACCCUCACCAACACCAGGUGAAAUAAGCCAACAUUUCAACGGGGCCUUAACAACGAUCGACGUGCCCGUCCCACCAGCAGACAACGGCGACAUUGCAUCAUAUUUCAACAACAACACUGGCCGUCUUCGCGAGGCAGUAGAGUCUGUAUUCCAAGGCUGCCAGCAGGUUAGACCUCCUUCUUUUAAAGUGUACGUUGACAUGCAUCUGCGUUUAGUCAGAGAAGACCCCGACGGUGGAGUUCAAUAUAGAGAUAUGUAUAUGAGAAGUCAUAUGCAGGUAAUUAGCUAUGACGAUAUAGAUUCAUAUGUACGUGAACUAUCCGAAUAUUUUGUUA